This 1415-nucleotide ribosomal RNA is filed under the name uncultured organism. RNAcentral's name for it is "partial 16S ribosomal RNA". It matches the Rfam family "Bacterial small subunit ribosomal RNA". The record is from RNAcentral.
AACGCUGGCGGCUUGCUUAACACAUGCAAGUCGUACGAGAAAGUCUUCUUCGGAAGGCGAGUAAAGUGGCGAACGGGUGAGUAACACGUAAGAAUCUACCCUUUGGUCUGGGAUAACGUCGCGAAAGUGGUGCUAAUACCGGAUAAUAUCCACGGAUCAAAGAGGGCUUUGCCCUCACCAGAGGAGGAGCUUGCGCCCCAUUAGCUAGUUGGUGAGGUAAUGGCUCACCAAGGCUCCGAUGGGUAGCCGGCCUGAGAGGGUGUACGGCCACACUGGAACUGAGACACGGUCCAGACUCCUACGGGAGGCAGCAGUGGGGAAUAUUGGUCAAUGGGCGAAAGCCUGAACCAGCAAUGCCGUGUGGGUGAUGAAGCUUCUAGGAGUGUAAAACCCUUUUAUGAGGGAAGAACGAAAUGCGGUUAAUAUCUGUAUUUCUUGACGGUACCUCAUGAAUAAGCCCCGGCUAACUCCGUGCCAGCAGCCGCGGUAACACGGAGGGGGCAAGCGUUGUUCGGAAUUACUGGGCGUAAAGGGCGUGUAGGCGGCCUAGCAGGUCAGAUGUGAAAUCCCCGGGCUCAACUCGGGAACUGCGUUUGAAACCGUUAGGCUUGAGGCUAGGAGAGGAAAGCGGAAUUCCUGGUGUAGCGGUGAAAUGCGUAGAUAUCAGGAGGAACACCGGUGGCGAAAGCGGCUUUCUGGACUAGUUCUGACGCUGAGGCGCGAAAGCGUGGGGAGCGAACGGGAUUAGAUACCCUGGUAGUCCACGCUGUAAACGAUGGGUACUAGGUGUUGGUUGUAAUGAUCAGCGCCGGAGCAAACGCAUUAAGUACCCCGCCUGGGGAAUACGGUCGCAAGACUGAAACUCAAAGGAAUUGACGGGGGCCCGCACAAGCGGUGGAGCAUGUGGUUUAAUUCGAUGCAACGCGAAGAACCUUACCUGGGCUUGAACUGCAGGUGCUAUCUCCUGAAAGGGAGUUUCCUUCGGGACGCCUGUAGAGGUGCUGCAUGGCUGUCGUCAGCUCGUGCUGUGAGGUGUUGGGUUAAGUCCCGCAACGAGCGCAACCCCUGUCCCUAGUUGCCAUCAGGUCAAGCUGGGAACUCUAGGGGGACUGCCCCGGAUAACGGGGAGGAAGGUGGGGAUGACGUCAAGUCAUCAUGGCCCUUACGUCCAGGGCUACACACGUGCUACAAUGGCCGGUACAACGGGUAGCGAGACAGCGAUGUGGAGCAAAUCCCUUAAAACCGGUCUCAGUUCAGAUUGCAGUCUGCAGCCCGACUGCAUGAAGUUGGAAUCGCUAGUAAUCGCGGAUCAGCAUGCCGCGGUGAUACGUUCCCGGGCCUUGUACACACCGCCCGUCACGCCAUGGGAGUCGGUAGCACCCGGAGCCGGUGGCCCAAUCCUGCUUGCAGGAGGG